AGAUAGGCUGUGACUUAAUUGUUUUAGCCAAGUGCUGUUAAAUCUCACGCUCCUUUUUCUUGACUCAGGAAUACAGAAUAUAAAUAUAGAGUGCCCUCCUAUCUCCCCAGUGUCAUUGCCUUGCUCUGUGAACAAACCCAGAGGUCCAACGUUUGUGGAAGGCCGUCUUCUACUCACUUCAGAAGACGAAUAUGACAAUGUGACCCAUUCCCUGAGAUGUUUUACAACUUGAGGGAAAAAAGUGUGACUCUGAGAUGUACCAGCUGUUAGGCCAGAGACAACCCUCAGAUCACCUGGGACUUGCUCCUUGUUGCCUCCUCUUUGAUCUUUGCAUCAGAGGGCCCUGCCAGUCUCUGUCCUCACAGUACCCAGUCUCUUGGAGCCCAAAUGGACUACGACAGUGCCCAAGAAAGACAUAAGGGGAAGAGUACCAGCUGAGAAUACAUACCAAAGAUGCUGUCUCCAGCACUGCAUGGGACAAGGAUGAAGCCUCAUCAGCCAGCUGAACUGGAACAAGUAUAUUCUAAAACUCCAUCCUAUUUUAAUUUUUCUAUUUUUAAUGCAGAGUUAAUCCAUAUCAGCUUUCUUAACCAUAAAGCCAUUCCAAGCGCUAACUUUUGUUUAAUUAGCACUUUGCAAAUUAAAACUUCAGUGUGAAAAGUAUUUUAAGCAUAUUGGAUGGAACAAAGUAUAGUUUGAGAAUGUUAUCCAUCAUAUAGGAAUGGAUCAGACAGAACACUGUGAAAUCAACAAUGUGCUUUUAUUAAUAUUCCUCAAUCCCAGUCAUUAUCCAAUAAACCUCAUUUCUUCCUUCUUUUAUAUGCUUUGACACUUGGGAUCAUCACUAAAGCCCCUUUCAAGCUUCAACAUUCCAUUUUUUCCCAGACGUUUGCUAGUCUAGUCAAUUUAUUAAGAACUGAAAUAUAAAGAGGUAAAAUGUAAAAUAAUCUGAGUAGUAGAAAGAACACUGAAUUUAAGAAUCAGAAAAUCUCUUUCAGUCAAGAAUGUGUACAUCUGACUUUGUAAACUUGGGGCAUAAAUCAUUUUAACCUCUCUAGGUUCUAUUACUAUCACUAUUUUGGGGUGUGAAUAAAUUAUAAGUCUAGACUCACCUAUGAUGUCAGAAUGAAUUAAGCAGAUAUGGAAGCACUUUUGAAACAUAAAUUGCGAUUGCAACUGUCCAAGGCCACAAAAGAAAUUACUAAAAUAACUCAAAGGAAGUGUUAUAUAUCAAGGAUUCAAAACACAAGAAACAUCCCUAAAAUAUAACAUUCUAACUGAUUUUCUUAAAGAUUGAUCUUUUUUAAAAGUCACAUAAGGGUAAUGAUUGAGGAAUGAUCUGCCACAUCUUGCAGCCUGUGAUGUAUUGUUCAGUGAUAUCAUUGUGGCCAACGAGGCACCAAAGAGCAGGCGAUCACAGUGACAUCAUGGCAGGAUCACUGACAAUGCUCGUGAUGUGACGAUUCUUUAUCAUUUAUAUGUUGGGCUGGUUAUAAAGUAUUUAAUUGGUAUUGUUCACAUUUAUAUCAUGUGAUGAGACAUUCUUGUCACCAUUAUUCAGUUUCUGAAUAUUCUUGGUGAAUGAUCUUCAGGGAGCCCUGGCUUCUGACCGAGGGUUUCUAUCCUUUGUCAAGCCACCCUAUUCCCUCACUUUUCAAUCACUUUACCUAUGACUAAUAGAAAGUUCAAAGCAAAAACCUAUUGAUUAAUUUUCAACUAGCAACAGAUAAUGAAACACAUUUUGCAUGUACAUUUUUGGAUUCCCAUUCUCCUGACCAAAGUAAAUUGGCUGGAAAUAAAAGACAUGUAAAAAAUCUCAUGCAGUUGUACUAAUUGAUCUGAGAGGAAAAAUGUAAAAUAUGUAGAUACCUUGAUUGUCUCCUCUUCAUCCCAUUGACUAGGGAGGGAUUCCACACUACGGUUAUGGGGAUGGCCCAAGAUAUGACAUCUAAUACUGGACAGAUGAGAUUGACAGUAGUGUACAGUCCAGGGGAGGAGAGGAAGAUACUGCACCAUGCAGGGCUGAAUGGGGAUGUGCUCAGGAACAGAGUGAAUAAGCAGACCCUGUGGAAAGCAGGCUUUAUAGUAGCAAGAGCAUGGAGUGACUCCUUGUUUCUCAGAUGGAUGUGAUCGGCUUGUUUGAAUAAUUCAGUGGGCUGGCAGGGAACUGAAGUCUACUACUCAGGGAUAAGCAGGCACUGUGCCUUGUCCUUGUAAUAAGGAGGGUUGUUUGGCUAGGACACCUUAUCAGUAGGAGCGAAGUGUGUAGGAUGAUGCAGUUAGGACAUCAGAGGCCCUCCCAGUUUAGAUGUCAAAGUAGCACAUCAUUGUUAUUUUAAGCCUUACACUACAACAGACAUCAUAUAAAGACACUUACCAAUUUGGACCAGGAGGCACAGCUCCCAUAACUUCUAUCGUCCAUCACUUUUUACCCCUGCUCGUAAGUCAAACAAUAAAGGAAAGUCCUCUCAAAGUCUUAGACAGAAUUAGGAGUGCUAAGAGCAUUGUUGAGGCCAUUCCUAGCCUUCCUUCUUGUUCAGAAACUACAGAUCGAAAGUCAAGGGGCCCUCCUUGGCAGCCUGCAGCUGGUGGCUGCCCUGUCUCCAGCAAAGGUUUUUCUGACUGUUCAGGCACACAACUGUGACUCCCCACGAGCAGACCCACUUACGUUUACCAAGACAAGAUAACAGAGUCAAUUAGCCUUGUCAGUCACUGUGACUAUAACUUAGAAGAAUAGAAGCCCACUGAUCACACUUAAUGAAAAUACAAGGUGACAAGAAAGUCAUCUGCAGCUGUUUAUGGACAAGAAUUUGGGGAAAAUGUAUUAAGAACAGUUAUAAUUAGAGAUACACACAAAAACAGAUAUGCUAUAUGCUAUAUUAUAAUAAAAUUGACAUUAUAAUAUUUACUAUAUUUACAUACUGAAUACAUUUAAAACAAUAAAAUUAAGUGAAAACAUUUUUGUUGUGCUUUUCUGUUCAGUGAUACUGUCUGGUUUUUUUAUUAAAGUUUUAAAUGUUAAAUGAUGACAUUUCAAAUACACAGCCAAGUACCAAAAUUAUUAAUAGACACUCAUGUACCAACCUACCAUAUUAACAGACAUUAACAUUUUGCUUUACUUGCCUUAGAAUCAAUUUUCUCUGUUUUAAAAAGCAGAAAGCAUUAAGCACAGAUAAAGCACCCCCAUCUCAUCCUCUACCUUUCUCUCCAGAGGUAACCAUCACCCUGAAGUUAGUAUGCUUCUUUUCAUGUAUGUACAUUUAAACUUAUGUUAAUAUUAUAUAGACAUGUCCAUAAAUUAUAUAUACUGUUAUUUUGUGUGCUUUAAAUAUUUAUACAAAUACUAGAAACCAUAUGGUACAUUUCCUUUUGUAACUUGCUUUUCUUGCCAACAUGUUUUGACAUUUAUCUGUGUUAAUAUAUUUAGAUCAAGUUUGUUCAUUUUAACUUUCUGUAGUAUUUUAUUACAUGAAUAAAUGAGUUUAUUUACUCAUUUGCUUACCGAGAA
Long non-coding RNA from Homo sapiens (human), 3508 nucleotides. RefSeq lists it as uncharacterized. NCBI's taxonomy places the organism in Eukaryota, Metazoa, Chordata, Mammalia, Primates, Hominidae. The record is from RefSeq and is a predicted model, not a curated record. The transcript is spliced from 3 exons.